GACGAACGCUGGCGGCGUGCUUAACACAUGCAAGUCGAACGGAAAGGCCCUGCUUGCAGGGUACUCGAGUGGCGAACGGGUGAGUAACACGUGGGUGAUCUGCCCUGCACUUCGGGAUAAGCCUGGGAAACUGGGUCUAAUACCGGAUAGGAGCCAGUUUUAGUGUGAUGGUUGGAAAGUUUUUUCGGUGUAGGAUGAGCUCGCGGCCUAUCAGCUUGUUGGUGGGGUAAUGGCCUACCAAGGCGGCGACGGGUAGCCGGCCUGAGAGGGUGGACGGCCACAUUGGGACUGAGAGACGGCCCAGAUUCCUACGGGAGGCAGCAGUGGGGAAUAUUGCACAAUGGGCGCAAGCCUGAUGCAGCGACGCCGCGUGGGGGAUGACGGCCUUCGGGUUGUAAACUCCCUUCGCUAGGGACGAAGCUUUUUGUGACGGUACCUAGAUAAGAAGCACCGGCUAACUACGUG
This 465-nucleotide ribosomal RNA is filed under the name uncultured bacterium. RNAcentral describes it as "partial 16S ribosomal RNA". It matches the Rfam family "Bacterial small subunit ribosomal RNA", at positions 28 to 507 of the family's 1533-position model. The record is from RNAcentral.